Molecule: non-coding RNA, 1552 nt
Organism: Phalacrocorax carbo (great cormorant)
Lineage: Eukaryota; Metazoa; Chordata; Aves; Suliformes; Phalacrocoracidae
Source: RefSeq, a predicted model, not a curated record
GGCCCAGAACAGCCCAGGUUGGGGACUUCAGAGGUUCACCCACCCUGUUCUUAUGGCUGCAGUGGCUAAUUUUAAACCUGCUAUUUCCUCUAGCCUAGAUGAUAACUUCAGUGAUGUUCCCCUUUCACAGCGGAAGACAAAGCCUGGUAGUUAGCAGAGCCAAAGCCUGAGCUCAGCAAGUUGGACAGGGAGAAGAUCUGAACUUUACCCCAAUAUCAUAUGUCUAAAUUCAUAUGUUUCUGGAGUAAUCUGUUUACCUGUUAUUGUCUUCAAUUCAGUUCUGUAGUCCUUGUGGACUAUGUUGCGAUAGACUGAAUUGUUUUCUGUCUUUAUCAAGCUUCAUGUGGAAAUGGUGUGCUAAAUGGACUCUGAAUGACUCUGAUUUGCAGUUAGCAGUUCGUAAUGGUUACUACUGCCAUCCCCAAAACACUAUUGUUGCAGUUAGCGCCAAUUUAAUCUGGGUCCUAGAAAAUAUAUGCUGAAACUUGUAAGAGAGCAACACUGAUUCGAAUAAUGUAUUGGAGAAAUAUGGCCAGUCCAAAUGGAUGCCAAAAGCUUUCAGCUUCUUUUGGCCCCUGGGAUUUUGGAACUCAGUGCUUUUAACUUCUCACCUUUAGAAAUAAUUUUUUUUUCUCUUCAUUAUGUUCUGAUAGAUGUGUGGGUUUUGGUGCUUCUUUCCUCCUCCUCUUCUUUCUCCACAGAGAAAGGAAGGCGCACAUACGGAGGAAGUGUUUUGGUUUUCUGUGUCAUAAGGACAGUUCCUUCAUUCUAUGCUGUGUGGUCAAAUGUAGCUUCUUACACUGGCCUGCUGACUAUAAGGGUUUUCUUCACAAAAAGUAUGUCAGCAAGCAUGAUAUGUCCUGCAGCAUCCCGCAGUGUUGAGGGUGUGUAAAUGACAACAGCUAGAAGGUGUGCAGUUAAACAUGAAGUAACAGGGAUUCAACAAAACAAGUAUAAAGAGAUUCAAGCCCUGAGCCCAUUUUUGUAUGGCUUUUAGACAAGUGGGCAAAGAUACUUGCAAAGGAACCUUUUAUCCAAUCAAAAAGUCCUUUCACUUCCCUAUGUAUAUUUUUGAGGGACAUAUAGAUGUAGUAAGAAAUACUUUGAUAAUGAAGUCAAGAGGAAAUACAGUCAUACCUACUAAGAUAUGUGUGUAUGACUAGUAGAGUUGUUAUGUGUAUGCCAUUAAAAGGAAAUAUAUCUGUACAUAUUGUUGCCAAGCUCCUAACAGUGCUUUUUAGUUUUCAUUCUUCUACAUGGACAGUGUCAUUUUCCUUCCCUACAGAUUAAUCUUACUGGAGAAAAGCCCAAAUAAUACAAAAUCUCACUGUAUGGAAGGUUUAUUUGAGUGGGGCAGAAAACCUGUAUUGCAGCAGGAGGCAAAAUACAGCAUGUGAUGUGGUUCCUGUCUUCUGUCAGAAAGGAUUAUGAGUAACCAGUGAAUUUGAAAGUUUGGAUCUGAAAAGAUGUUAUCAGCCGAAAUUCAUAGGUGUAAGUUAAGUGAAGGAUUGCUUAUUUACUUCUGGGAAUGUAAGCAUAAACAUACUGAUUU